AGAAAUUUUGAGAUAAAGAACUAUGGAAUUUUUUUUGAGAUAGAUUUUGGGUGAAAGGUGGGAGAGUAAGUUAUCUUUAUGGUCUCAGUAAAAGGUUUGUGCUGAGCAGACGGCGGUAGUGGGACUUGUGACUUAAGAAAGAUGGGAAAGAGGAAGCUAGGGAAGAAUUACGUCUCGUCUCACUUGUUUCCAAGGGGGACCAACCUCCUUACUCCAUCACAGACGAUUGGUGUCACAACGGUUUGAUCCCAAGGACUGACUGGAAACCUGACACGCUUCUGCGUCCACAAAACGGUGUUAAGUUCCGCAUCUACUCACGGGAGGACAAAAAUGUAUCUGUUCAAGGGAAAUGUUUCCUUGUGCGUAAGGCGACUAACGUCGCUUUGGGGUCUCAAACGGAAUAAGGCAGGCAUUAUUUUUCAAGUUGGCUAAUACGGUCAGGGCGAGUUUCAGCUGAGCUGCAAUCCAGGCCAGCUCGCUAAGUCCCAGGCUGCUUCAAAUUGCCGUUCUCACCAAUCACUGGAUCCUGCCUGCACGGUUCCUUUGCUCUGUCCAAUCCGAGGUCUACUCUGAAUGCCCGCCCUUCGCCCGGUGCCGCGAACAGACGUAAAUCUGAGGGGCGCGCGGUACGGCCGGGUCGGGCGGCCGCGGGGGCUGGUGGUACGCGCACGCGCACUUGCAGUGCGGCUUGGCGGCCUUUGCAGUCUGAGGACUUUUUUGUUCAGGUCUCUGUUCCUCCAGCCGUUGUGGUGGGUUCGACUUUGGUAAAACAUGAGGUCCCUUUGGACACAGUCGUUCGGAGGAGGACAGCUGUUUAUAUGACAGUAUUUCCAUUUGGGGAUACCAUUUUGAAGUCAUUGUGCUGUUUUAACUGCUCCAAAGUCAACUUUUCCCCUGGAUUUCAGUUUUAUGGGUGAAGCUUAUGUGAGAUGGAAGAUUUUCAUGGUAUAGCAGAAGAGUCAUUUCCAAGCUUUUUCACCAGUUCAUUACUUGGUAAUAGUGGGAUUUUGGAAAAUGUCACUCUUUCUUCAAAUCUUGGCUUCCCUGUUGCUGUUUCCACACUUGCUAGGAAUAGAUCUAGCACUGAUAACAGGUAUCCUGAUGUCCAGGCAUCUUACUUAGUAGAAGGGAGGUUUUCAGUUCCAUCUGUGUCAUCUCCCAGUUGCCAAAGUGAUGCUGAACCAAGAGAAAAGUUACAGCUUAGCUUUCAGGAUGAUGAGUAAGUUCAAACCCUAUCGCUUUAGUCUUGUGAAAAAUGUAAGGUUGUGUCGCUGAUUAAUUCUAAGCAUUUUAAUGAGUUUUCUUUAUAUGUUUUUAUCACAUUUUUGUCUUUUAAAACAUUUUUUCUAACUCUAAAAGUAACAUGCAAAUUGAAAGAAGUAGAAAAUAUAGAGUAUGAUGAAGACAAUAAAGGCCUGUAAUCAGUUAAUUAGAGAAUAGCUAGCUUACUAUAGAAACUGAUU
Castor canadensis (American beaver) is the source of this 1463-nucleotide non-coding RNA. The record is from RefSeq and is a predicted model, not a curated record. Lineage: Eukaryota; Metazoa; Chordata; Mammalia; Rodentia; Castoridae.